ACCGGACUCGUCUAAUCGGCAAGACAGGCGGCUCUGACCCGCAAGACUCCAGGUUCGACUCCUGGGUCCGGUA
Molecule: transfer RNA, 73 nt
Filed under: Myxococcales bacterium
Lineage: Bacteria; Pseudomonadati; Myxococcota; Myxococcia; Myxococcales
Also listed under: 1 other name
Description: tRNA-Gln
Rfam family: tRNA
About the family: Transfer RNA (tRNA) molecules are approximately 80 nucleotides in length. Their secondary structure includes four short double-helical elements and three loops (D, anti-codon, and T loops).
Source: RNAcentral